AAAGGUAGAGGUUGCGUGAUUCAUAAGUAGCAUAUCGGAUGCGGCAGAGGCAGAAGAAGAGGUGUGAAAGGGGAGAACGCCGAAAGGAUAUGGUGAUCUGCAGUCGUAUCUUUGGGCAUAGGAUGAAGAAUUCUAUGACUCUCAUCGGUAUAUCAGAUGGAGGCGCUAUCCG
Molecule: non-coding RNA, 172 nt
Filed under: human gut metagenome
Also listed under: 2 other names
Description: Lysine riboswitch
Rfam family: Lysine riboswitch aptamer
About the family: Riboswitches are metabolite binding domains within certain messenger RNAs that serve as precision sensors for their corresponding targets.
Source: RNAcentral